GAUGAACGCUGGCGGCGUGCCUAAUACAUGCAAGUCGAGCGAACGGACGAGAAGCUUGCUUUUCUGAUGUUAGCGGCGGACGGGUGAGUAACACGUGGAUAACCUACCUAUAAGACUGGGAUAACUUCGGGAAACCGGAGCUAAUACCGGAUAAUAUUUUGAACCGCAUGGUUCAAAAGUGAAAGACGGUCUUGCUGUCACUUAUAGAUGGAUCCGCGCUGCAUUAGCUAGUUGGUAAGGUAACGGCUUACCAAGGCAACGAUGCAUAGCCGACCUGAGAGGGGGAUCGGCCACACUGGAACUGAGACACGGUCCAGACUCCUACGGGAGGCAGCAGUAGGGAAUCUUCCACAAUGGGCGAAAGCCUGACGGAGCAACGCCGCGUGAGUGAUGAAGGUCUUCGGAUCGUAAAACUCUGUUAUUAGGGAAGAACAUAUGUGUAAGUAACUGUGCACAUCUUGACGGUACCUAAUCAGAAAGCCACGGCUAACUACGCG
This 497-nucleotide ribosomal RNA is filed under the name uncultured bacterium. RNAcentral describes it as "partial 16S ribosomal RNA". It matches the Rfam family "Bacterial small subunit ribosomal RNA", at positions 28 to 507 of the family's 1533-position model. The record is from RNAcentral.